Molecule: small RNA, 157 nt
Filed under: Winslowiella iniecta
Lineage: Bacteria; Pseudomonadati; Pseudomonadota; Gammaproteobacteria; Enterobacterales; Erwiniaceae
Description: Erwinia iniecta sroC RNA
Rfam family: sroC RNA
About the family: This family consists of a number of bacterial sroC RNA genes of around 160 bases in length. sroC is found in several Enterobacterial species.
Source: Rfam by way of RNAcentral
ACUAAUAAUGAAAAAAAGGGCAGCCUGCCUGCCCUCUCGAUUGUUGAUAACCGGCCCGGACAGACACCAUGUUGACUGGUCGUUCCCCAGACAACAUUACCGGGGGCCUCUCACCAAUCUUCAGGGUAGCUUCGCUACCCUUUUUUACCGGAGUUAU